Ornithorhynchus anatinus (platypus) is the source of this 138-nucleotide small nucleolar RNA. The record is from RefSeq and is a predicted model, not a curated record. Lineage: Eukaryota; Metazoa; Chordata; Mammalia; Monotremata; Ornithorhynchidae.
UUCCUCUCAGGAUCACAACUGGAGAGUUUCCAAUACUCUACCAGUUUCGACUAUGGGAGGGAGAAUCAAGCAGAAGCAUACCCAUUCCAUUCCUAGCUUCGGCAGUGGCUAGCGAGUGGAAGGCAAUCUGCUAGAAGU